GAUGAAGAACGUAGCGAAAUGCGAUAAGUAAUGUGAAUUGCAGAAUUCAGUGGAUCAUCGAAUCUUUGAACGCACAUUGCGCCCGUCAGUAUUCUGGCGGGCAUGCCUGUUCGAGCGUCAUUACGCCCCUCAAGUCCCCUGUGGACUUGGUGUUGGGGAUCGGCGAGGCUGGUUUUCCAGCACAGCCGUCCCUUAAAUUAAUUGGCGGUCUCGCCGUGGCCCUCCUCUGCGCAGUAGUAAAACACUCGCAACAGGAGCCCGGCGCGGUCCACUGCCGUAAAACCCCCCAACUUUUUAUAGUUGACCUCGAAUCAGGUAGGACUACCCGCUGAACUUAAGCAUAUCAUAAGCGGAGGA
Molecule: unclassified non-coding RNA, 357 nt
Filed under: soil metagenome
Description: partial contains 5.8S ribosomal RNA, internal transcribed spacer 2, and large subunit ribosomal RNA
Rfam family: 5.8S ribosomal RNA (bases 1-120)
Source: RNAcentral